CCUGAACGCUGGCGGCGUGGCUAAGACAUGCAAGUCGAACGGUCUCCGCAAGGAGACAGUGGCGGACGGGUGAGUAAUGAAUCGCUAACGUACCCUUAGGCCUGGGAUAGCUAGCUGAAAGGUUAGGUAAUACCAGAUGAAAUGCUUUGGUCGCAUGACCGAAGUCUCAAAGCCGCAAGGCACCUUUGGCGCGGGCGAUUUCGUAUCAGCUAGUUGGUGAGGAACGGCUCACCAAGGCGAUGACGCGUAGCCGGACUGAGAGGUUGGCCGGCACAUUGGGACUGAGACACUGCCCAGACUCCUACGGGAGGCAGCAGU
RNAcentral lists this ribosomal RNA (318 nucleotides) under uncultured bacterium. Its description in RNAcentral is "bacterial SSU rRNA". It matches the Rfam family "Bacterial small subunit ribosomal RNA", at positions 30 to 355 of the family's 1533-position model. The record is from RNAcentral.